RNA transcript from Helianthus annuus (common sunflower), 3990 nucleotides. RefSeq lists it as uncharacterized. The transcript has 12 exons. The record is from RefSeq and is a predicted model, not a curated record. NCBI's taxonomy places the organism in Eukaryota, Viridiplantae, Streptophyta, Magnoliopsida, Asterales, Asteraceae.
CUACACUUCUCUAAAACCCUAGCUACCAGCCACCGCGUUCCUCCUCCUUCUUUACGAUUCAACUCAAACCUUAACUAUCAGCCACCGUGAUCCUCUUUUUUCUUAGUUGUUCAACGAUUCAAACCCUAAAGCAAUUUCCCCAUUCAUCUUUUUCAUAUAUACAAUCAAUGUCAUAGAGCAAUUGAAUGGUUGAAGAAAAUACGCCUCUGCCUUUCUUUUCUAUCUUCUGGAAUCAUAAUCAAUUUUUUUUGUUGGAAGUGGACACUCAAUUUUCCCUGCUCUGAUCAAGAACAACGGUUCCCUGCCUUUUAACGUUAUCCUUUAUGCUUCGAGGUCUAUUCUGGUAAUAAAUAUAUAAGAAAUGGCUGAAUUUGCAAAGGGAGGAAAAAGUGUUCCAAAGUCUAUUUUUAAGAACAGAAAAGAAAUGAAGACUGGGCUCUUGCAAAGAAGCAAGAGACUAAGGAGUUGAAGAAGAAGAAUGCUGCCAACAGGAAGUUGAUCUUCAAACCCUAAAUCGAUAUCCCAAGAUGUUGCUGCCCAAGUGGAGUGAGGUUGCAUUUUGUUAGAGCAUUGCUGAGAAGUAAACUAAUGGAGUCUUUACUUUUGAUAAGGUUUGUUGAAGAAUUUUUUUCAUGACUUGCAUGAAGAAGUGACGAUGGCUGCUGCUCAUGGCCAUGGUCUACUAAUAGGCGUUCAACAACUUGAGUCACAAAUCCCUUCAAUGGAAAUUUGAAAGGGCGUUUCUAUCUGAAACAUCCCAUUCAGCCUUAAAUGAGUUGACCAAUGUCCUUUCUUAGUUAGUGGAGCUUUUCUUAAGGGUACAGGAGGAAGCUUAAAACAGGAUUGUGUAGCCAAAAUGGAACCAUCCAAGGGUUUUUAUUGGUACACAUUGGAUAUGGGAGCAGCACAAGCGAUGAAGAGAAUUCCACAGAUCACGUUUGUACAACAUCAUUCUAUGCCUUUGGUUUGUAUUCGUUUUGAUCUUUUCGUUUUUUUGUUAAGACAUUUGAUUUGUUUGUGUUAAUGUGUGGAUAGGUUGUUUAUUGUUAGUUUAGGUUUCCGAUUAUCAUUUUUUUGGAUUAGAUGUCAGAAAAUGUGUUAUGUAUUAAGUUAGGGUUAGGGACUUUUGGUUGGAAUAAGAGAAUUGGAUUUGCUGACUGAUUUGGUGAGAUUGAUUUGAAGAAUAUGAUACGUGACCUGAACUGUUUGAAAACUUUUGUUGUAUUAGGGCCAUCAUAACUUGAAUACAUGGUACUAACUUUUCUUGAGGAUAACAAUGACUGUGAAGACCAAAUAAAAAUCUGUUUGGAACGUGUAUUGACUUCGAGUGUAAUGACAUUGUGCUCUGUCUUAUAAGUUCUUAUUUUAUCAGUUGAAGUGUGUAUUUCACUGUCAAUUCACAACUAGAAACUGGAGCUUCAUCUUCUCCUUCAAGACAAAGUCUUGAGUUGAAGAAAUCAUGGGGGAUGUGUGGACUGUUUUUUGUUAUCAAAUAUUUUGCUCUUGGGCAUAUGAUUAUCACUUAUCCGACUAACUGCAGAGCAUGAAGAAAACUUAUGCUUCACCGAAUUGAUCCUGAAUCAGUUCUUUCGAGCAAAUAUUUGUUUACAUCUGUGGAUGUGAAAGUGCCACCAUCACCAACGGCUGAUGUUAGGGCACCACAAAGUGACAAUGAAAUCAGAAGAAAACCUGUGGGUCAAGUUCCCACUGAUGCUAAUUCGAUUCUUCGGUGAUAUGGAAAAUCUAUUCAUGGGUUUCUCCGGCAACAAUCAACUUUGUUAUUCUCUUGGCAAGUGGUCCCGGAAGAAGAAAUCUUAACCGAUCAUCUUCUCAACGCCGAGCACCACUUCAGUUUGUUCAAAACAGAGUUCGGUAAAACGUAUGCGACUGCAAAGAUAGUUACGGAGCUUGAUGGUCAUGUGAUGCGUUGUAUGCUCAAAAGGGCAAUCAUGUUAUUCAGAAGUUUAUUGAAUGGGUACCAGAAAAUGCUAUUCAUUUUAUAAUCUCUACUUUCUAUGAUCAAGUUGUAACUUUGUCAACCCAUCCGUAUGGUUGUCGUCAUGUCAUACAGAGAGUUUUGGAACACUGUCAUGACCUUAAAACACAAAGCUUAGUGUUGGAUGAAAUCUUGAAAUCUAUCAAUAUGUUGGCCCAACAUUAAUAUGGAAAUUAUGUCGUUCAGAAAUUUUUGGGUCCAUUUGGUUAAGAGGUGGCAAGUUGACUGGUGAAACUGGGACCCUUGGCUAUAUUGCAACGCAUGGGAAAGCUUAUAUCUUCAUUCAAGUAUUUUUAAGAACUUCAUUUUCCGAUUAUAUGUCGUGAACUUGCGAUUCAUGUUUCAAUUAUGUGAGAUGAACACCAGAGAGACGGUGCCGAAACACUCGCUGUUUCGAUUUGGUGAGUUUUUCCCUAUUCGAUGAGUUAGGUUUCGGGAAUACAUUGAUUAGGUUACUUUUAGCUGUUUUGUUAUGAAUUUUUGUGAGUUUAUGUUUUUGAUUGGUUAAUUAAAGGUGUCCAGUUGAAACGAGCAUUUGUUGGAGACAAUGCAACCAGGUGUCAUCAAAGCAAUAACCGUAAAGGUAUUGUGAAUUCCACUGCUAAUUACUUUUAAUUUGUGUGUUAUUGACUUUUUUUGUGAAAAUUAAAAUAAUUUAGGGCAACUGCGUCUCAUUAAUGUAGUCAACCGGGAUUGGGCUAAUAUUUUGUUUAUUGAUUGCCGUUUGAUAUUCAUUGGGAUGCAUUAUCUGGUCAAUAACACCUCUAACUAUUUGCCAAUAUCAAGGGUCUGCCCCCUUCUUCACUAAAAUGGUGUGUCCUCUUAACACCUUUUCCAUUUUCUUUUAUGAUCUUACAAUUCAAUAUUAUCUCUUUAUGAUCAGUAGUUGUAAUAGACUAAUAGUAAGUCAUAGCAGUGGAUACAUUUGAUACUCUUGAUGUUGUCAUAAUAAAGUCUUUUGUAACUACAUGAUAUUAACAUUGUCAAAUUUACACACAUACAAGUGGAACAUAAAGAAUGUUUAAUGUCUUUUGUCUAAGUACGCGGAUCGCUAUUGAUCCUAUUAAUGAUGUCUACUAAGAGUUGAUAUUGAAGAAUUUAGAAGAAGAUUUGCUUUUAGGGAGCAUUUAUACAUGAGUCUCAACAACAAAGAAGGUUACUCUACGAUGUAACAGUAGUUUUAGGCAUUCUUACAUUUAGGCUUGCUCAUUUCUAUUUCUAUUUCUUUAAUUUAUAUAGUUGCAGCGAACUCCGAGCAGGCGAAGAGACGGGCAAGAUGGAACAACUGUCCAAUGUUUUACUGCAGCAACGGGUCACACAAGAUUGUGUUGGCAUGUGGUGUUCUUAAGGUACCCAUUAGGAAGGAUAUCAUUCACCGUGUUGUUAGAUGGCAGCUUGAUAAAGGACAACAAGUAUUAUAUAUUUCUCUAAUUUAUAAUUUAAUCUUAGAAUAUCAAUGAUCUUUAAUCAUACGACAUUGAAUAUACAUUAACAAGAAUCCUGCAAAGUUGCCACCAUUAUUCAGGUAUUUGUUUACUUAGUGGAUGAUAUAUGUUCAAGUUUAUGUUGUUAAUAAGUGUUGGUGUAACAGGUGGAUAAUGUUAACAGACAUGGCAUACUUUUGGAAGUUGUACAAGUUCUUACCGAUACCAAUUUCAUCUUCGCAAAGCUUACAUAAGUUCUAAUGGAGGGUGGUUCAUGGAUGAUAUGCAGGGAUAAAAAUCAAGCAAAUUCAUGGUUUCGUGGCUUAAGUGCAAUUUACUUGCUUUGUAGUUUUAAUAUGAAGGAAAUUGGCAAGAGUCAUAUAAGUUUAAUAAGUUUUGAACUUAUUGAGUUGUUAGACUUUAAUUUGUUCAACUAAGUGAUAUUAAGCCUAUGAUAAUUGAUUUUGUUGUGUUUCAUGUUGACAUACAUGUGUGUUAUCUCUAAUCGGGAUGGAUUCUCACAUGUAUGAUUACAUUUAAAAUAAUCGACAAGGUGUAGACGGCCUGAAU